GUGUCAGCCGCCGCGGUAAUACGUACCGUCCAAACGUUAUUCGGAAUUACUGGGCUUAAAGGGUACGUAGGCGGCGCUGUCAGUCGGGUGUGAAAGCCCUCGGCUCAACCGAGGAAUUGCGCCCGAUACUGCAGUGCUUGAGGGAGACAGAGGUAAGCGGAACUGAUGGUGGAGCGGUGAAAUGCGUUGAUAUCAUCAGGAACACCAGUGGCGAAAGCGGCUUACUGGGUCUCUUCUGACGCUGAGGUACGAAAGCUAGGGGAGCGAAGGGGAUUAGAAACCCCUGUAGUCC
This 292-nucleotide ribosomal RNA is filed under the name uncultured bacterium. Its description in RNAcentral is "partial 16S ribosomal RNA". It matches the Rfam family "Bacterial small subunit ribosomal RNA", at positions 505 to 796 of the family's 1533-position model. The record is from RNAcentral.